Molecule: non-coding RNA, 30 nt
Filed under: Rattus norvegicus (Norway rat)
Lineage: Eukaryota; Metazoa; Chordata; Mammalia; Rodentia; Muridae
Source: RNAcentral
UGUAGAAGGUGUUCUUAGGAUCAGUCCCAC